RNAcentral lists this ribosomal RNA (294 nucleotides) under Triticum aestivum (bread wheat). RNAcentral's name for it is "partial small subunit ribosomal RNA". The record is from RNAcentral. Lineage: Eukaryota; Viridiplantae; Streptophyta; Magnoliopsida; Poales; Poaceae.
AUGUCGUCGACGACGCAGAGCGCGGCCCUGUCGGCGAAAUGCGCGGCGUGGGCGCAGGAGCGGCGGCCGUUCACGCACCCGAUCGAGAUCCCGGCGGCCUCCGGCGCGCCGGACGAGCGGAGGGGCCGCGGCGAGGAGGAGGAAGGCGGGGAGGUGGAGCCGCCGCACGUGCUGAUGGCGCGGCGCAGGGCGGCCUCCUCGGUGUGCUCCGGCCAGGGCCGGACGCUCAAGGGCCGGGACCUCACGCGCACGCGCGACUCCGUCCUCCGCAUGACCGGCUUCAUCGAGAGCUAG